GGGCCCGCACAAGCGGUGGAGCAUUGGUUUAAUUCGAUGCAACGCGAAGAACCUUACCAGGGCUUGACAUACUACAAAUCUUUUAGAAAUAGAAGAGUGCCUUCGGGAAUGUAGAUACAGGUGGUGCAUGGCUGUCGUCAGCUCGUGUCGUGAGAUGUUGGGUUAAGUCCCGCAACGAGCGCAACCCUCGUUUUUAGUUGCCAAUUUCAUUGGGUUUCUAGAGAGACUGCCGGUGACAAACCGGAGGAAGGUGAGGAUGACGUCAAGUCAGCAUGCCCCUUAUGUCCUGGGCUACACACGUGCUACAAUGAUAAAGACAAAGGGUUGCAAAUCCGUGAGGACUAG
Molecule: ribosomal RNA, 345 nt
Filed under: uncultured bacterium
Lineage: Bacteria
Description: bacterial SSU rRNA
Rfam family: Bacterial small subunit ribosomal RNA
Source: RNAcentral